AUGAUGAUGUCACUGACUCUACUGCUGGGCACCCUGGGGCUCCUUGUUCAGGGUUCAUCAGGACAAAUCAUCCUGACUCAGUCUCCUGGACCUCAGUAUGCUGUUCCAGGACAGACUGUCUCCAUCAAAUGUAAAACCAGUUCAAGUGUUUACAGUCAUCUUGUUGGUGCCAACUUGCUCCACUGGUACCUUCAUAAAUCUGGAGAUGCUCCUAAACUCCUGAUUUAUAGAGGUACAGGCCGUCAGUCUGGAGUUUCAAAUCGUUUUAGUGGAAGUGGAUCAAACUAUGACUUCACUCUGACCAUCAGUGGGGUUCAUGCUGAAGAUUCAGGAGUUUACUACUGUCAGUAUGGUUGGUAUUCAGAGUUCACACAGUGA
Scomber scombrus (Atlantic mackerel) is the source of this 378-nucleotide non-coding RNA. The record is from the annotation of a RefSeq genome assembly. Lineage: Eukaryota; Metazoa; Chordata; Actinopteri; Scombriformes; Scombridae.